UUUGGAGGUACUGGCAGUAUUUCUCUUCUCUCGUGGGGAUGAAGAUUCAGUCCUGAAAAAUUUCACGAAGCAAAAAACUUCAGGCCUAACCCUAAGGAGAAAAGACCUUUUCAACUAAAAACCCUGGGAUGUGUCACCGAAGGAAAUGCAGAAGCCAAAGGCUUGGACAACUUGGAAAGGCAUGCCAAUUUUUUUUCCUAAGAUGAAACAACUGCUACAGCUCCCCUCGCCUGUGAGAAGCUCGGUGGACGUUUUCCCACCAGCAGCUUCUCUGCUGGCUCCUGUUGGGCCACAGGCAAGCUGUGGCCAUGGGGCAAAUGGACUGCACCGAACUCUUUAAUUGCCUCAGGGACAAAUUUAGGCAAAUGUGUUGAGCUGGUAAGCAGCCUGGGACCAGCUCCAUUUGGGUACUGCCAAAAUGCAGCAUCCUUCUUGGCGUGCCCUCUCUGGGGUGGCUCUGGCAACCUGAAGGAGCCCCAAAUGUGGAGGGAGCAGAAAUCUGGCUCUGGGUGGCAGUCCUGGUGUGUGUCCCUGCUCAGGUCCGGAGCUGAGGGGGAUGUAGGCUGCUGGGUAAGCUCCUGGCCAAACGUAUGCCCUGGAGAGGAGAGAACAGAAAUGCUCUGCUGAUAAAAGGGUUCUUAGAGAUGCCCCCAAAACGUUGCCCAUGAGCAGGUGUUGCUAGGCAAAAAUGGGAUGAGCGACGAGGGAUCGGCACAUAGGGUAUGGCAUCGGUGCUUUUGUUCCCAGAACUGUGAAAAUACUGCAGGCCUGAGAUGGCAGAAAGGAAGAACUGCAAGAGGACAUCAUCUCGAAGCUGUGUGGGCAUGUGUUUUGAUGGAGGAGCUCCUAUUGCACCCUGGUAUGUAAAGACCAUAUGGGUAACAGCCACCAAAGGCACAUGCGUGUGCUCCUGUGCACUCUGUGUUCUCUACCUGGCAGGGCUGAGCCCUUCCCACCUCCCUGGGCAGCCAGGCUCAGGAGACAAACGCCUACCCUCACCCAUGUUAGCUGAAGCAAGCAAAGGCUGUUUUUGCUAGAAAAUCCAUCUGAUCUAAGAGAUUCCCAUUUGUUUUGGCACCAAGGCUCUUCAAAGAAAGCCCGAUUGGCUUUUCUCCCCCUCUCUUAUAAUGGCAGCAAUGUAUUUUUUCACUCCUCUCUCACAUUGUAAAGGCUGAAGUGCUUUUGCUCAAAUUUAAAAAUCAAAUCACAUCUGGAGGAAGCCCAGACCUUGCGAGUUUCCACAGAGGGUGGUGAACCUCUCUCUCUAGAUGUCUGAGAUAAUCUCCUUGAGGAACUCACCCAAAUUUCCAUCCUGGAACGAGACCCUUCUCUUUUUGCACAAGAAGGGAUGGCACGAGCCACCACCCCGUGAAUGCAGCGAGAGGAGGAGACGGAUGAAGCCCCAGGAGAGGGGAGAGCAGAUACAUUUCCAGACUGGAGCUGAGCGGUGAUGAAGCAACAAAUGCAGAGAGGUUCAGAGGAAUAACCAGAUG
Molecule: long non-coding RNA, 1493 nt
Organism: Oxyura jamaicensis (ruddy duck)
Lineage: Eukaryota; Metazoa; Chordata; Aves; Anseriformes; Anatidae
Exons: 3
Source: RefSeq, a predicted model, not a curated record